This 700-nucleotide ribosomal RNA is filed under the name uncultured bacterium. Its description in RNAcentral is "bacterial SSU rRNA". It matches the Rfam family "Bacterial small subunit ribosomal RNA", at positions 143 to 845 of the family's 1533-position model. The record is from RNAcentral.
AUAGCCCAUGGAAACGUGGAUUAAUCCCCCAUACCAUUAAUAUGUGGCAUCUUAUAUUAAUGAAAUCUUCGGAGGUAUCAGAUGGGCAUGCGUCCUAUUAGCUAGUUGGCGGGGUAACGGCCCACCAAGGCGAUGAUAGGUAGGGGUUCUGAGAGGAAGGUCCCCCACAUUGGAACUGAGACACGGUCCAAACUCCUACGGGAGGCAGCAGUGAGGAAUAUUGGUCAAUGGCCGGAAGGCUGAACCAGCCAAGUCGCGUGAGGGACGACUGCCCUAUGGGUUGUAAACCUCUUUUAUAAGGGAAGAAUAAAUGCUACGUGUAGCAUGAUGCCUGUACCUUAUGAAUAAGCAUCGGCUAACUCCGUGCCAGCAGCCGCGGUAAUACGGAGGAUGCGAGCGUUAUCCGGAUUUAUUGGGUUUAAAGGGUGCGUAGGCGGUUUUUUAAGUUAGUGGUUAAACGUCGGGGCUUCACCUUGAUUUGCCAUUAAUACUGUAAGACUCGAGUUCAGACGAGGUAGGCGGAAUAAGUUAAGUAGCGGUGAAAUGCUUAGAUAUAACUUAGAACUCCGAUAGCGAAGGCAGCUUACCAGACUGCGACUGACGCUGAAGCACGAGAGCGUGGGUAGCGAACAGGAUUAGAUACCCUGGUAGUCCACGCCGUAAACGAUGCUCACUGGUUCUGUGCGACAUACCGUACGGG